UUUCCGUAGGUGAACCUGCGGAAGGAUCAUUCAUAAUAUGUGAUUUAUGGCGCUUUUUUUAAUCUUUAGCCACCUUGUGUGCAAUGUUAUGGUUGCUUUCUUUUUAGCAGUCCUUAACAUCGUCUAUUAUCCCCGCCCUUUGUCUGCCAAAUAUUUUUAAUAAAACCUUCGUUAAUACAACUUUCAACUACGUAUCUCUUGACUCUCAUAUCUAUGAAGAACGCAGCAAAACUUUCAACAACACGUCUGUACUUCAGUCCCUCAUAGUAGAACGCUACA
RNAcentral lists this unclassified non-coding RNA (279 nucleotides) under plant metagenome. RNAcentral describes it as "partial contains small subunit ribosomal RNA, internal transcribed spacer 1, and 5.8S ribosomal RNA". The record is from RNAcentral.